Molecule: long non-coding RNA, 540 nt
Organism: Canis lupus familiaris (dog)
Lineage: Eukaryota; Metazoa; Chordata; Mammalia; Carnivora; Canidae
Exons: 2
Source: RefSeq, a predicted model, not a curated record
GUAAUCACCUAUCCAGUGGUUCUCAACCCUCGACUGCUCAUUUGAACCACAGGAGGAGCUUUUAAAACCACCAGCGUAGGGCCCAUUGUCCAGAGGUACUCAUCUACUUACUCCAGGCUGGGACUCAGGCAGCAGUAUUUCUAAAUUCCCUGGGGGACCCCAGUCCCAGUCUACUUACUGGCAGAAACAUUCUUUUGCACAUGUAGACUACAUGGGGUCAUCUUUGAGAGGAGAUUGAAUCUUCUUGGUGAGGUAAUGUGUUGAUCUUCAGAUACUUUAAGAGAACGCGAUGGCAUACUUGUGGACUAGAGAAUGAACUGCAGUGUCUACCGCACAGUCAUGAGGCCUGGCGAAGCAGCAGCCACUUGGUGACCUUGAGGCAACAAGUAGGAGGAUAAAGUCAACAUAGUAAGAAAGUCAGAACAGAAGGGAAGAAAGAACAUACAUCCUGAUUGUGUUCAGGGCUGAGUUGUUGGCUCUGGACUGCCUUGCCUCAGGCUUCUUACCAUGUGGAACAAAUAAACCCGUAUUUACAUAGGA